GACGAACGCUGGCGGCGUGCUUAACACAUGCAAGUCGAACGGAAAGGCCCUGCUUUUGUUGGGUGCUCGUUUGCCGAAGGGGGGUGUAACACGUGAGUAACACCCACUUGUCUUAGUGAGAACAUCUCGAAACUGGGGCGCAAAUCCGGUAUGAGAUCCUGCUGCACAUGGGUCAUUGGAGAGAGUCGGUGGUGCGGUCUCUACUAGAUGGAUCCGCGCCGCAUUGGCUAGUUGGUAAGGUAACGGCUUACCAAGGCAACGAUGCGUAGCCGACCUGAGAGGGUGAUCGGCCACACUGGAACUGAGACACGGUCCAGACUCCUACGGGAGGCAGCAGUAGGGAAUCUUCCGCAAUGGGCGAAAGCCUGACGGAGCAACGCCGCGUGAGUGAUGAAGGUCUUCGGAUCGUAAAACUCUGUUAUUAGGGAAGAACAAAUGUGUAAGUAACUAUGCACGUCUUGACGGUACCUAAUCAGAAAGCCACGGCUAACUACGUG
This 497-nucleotide ribosomal RNA is filed under the name uncultured bacterium. RNAcentral's name for it is "partial 16S ribosomal RNA". It matches the Rfam family "Bacterial small subunit ribosomal RNA", at positions 28 to 507 of the family's 1533-position model. The record is from RNAcentral.